Aphidius gifuensis is the source of this 409-nucleotide long non-coding RNA. RefSeq lists it as uncharacterized. NCBI's taxonomy places the organism in Eukaryota, Metazoa, Arthropoda, Insecta, Hymenoptera, Braconidae. The record is from RefSeq and is a predicted model, not a curated record. The transcript has 3 exons.
UGUUAGAGAGAGAACUUGUGUCGUUCAGUGUCGUGACUUUUUACACUUAUUUUUGCAAUAAUAAUUGUUAAACAAUUAUAAAUUGUUAAUAAAUCGGUUAAUUAAUCUAUUCUGAACAAAAUGUGAUAUAAAUUAUUGUAAAGUUUUGUAAAUUUUGACCAAUAAUAAUGGACAUGUCAAUGGCGUUGAAGCUGACAAAGGCAGCUAUUAAUUUGUUAAAUAAUGGACAAAUGAUAUAUAACAACAAGUGUGGCUAAAAUAUUUGAUGUGCUUAUGCAAUUAAUUCAAGAACUUAAUUAAAAAUGGGACUGAAUAAAUGACUAAAUUGGUUUGUCAUUGGUGCCAAGAUCAUUUUAGAGUCUAUUGCAUCAAAUUAUGUAAUAUCAGAUUGACAUAAUAAAAAAAGGAG